RNAcentral lists this ribosomal RNA (584 nucleotides) under uncultured bacterium. RNAcentral's name for it is "bacterial SSU rRNA". It matches the Rfam family "Bacterial small subunit ribosomal RNA", at positions 102 to 679 of the family's 1533-position model. The record is from RNAcentral.
ACGGGGUAGGAAUGCGUAGGUGACGUACCCUCGGGUCUGGGAUAGCUACGGGAAACUGUAGGUAAUACCAGAUAAUCUCUCCGGACAUGGUAGCCUGGAGAGCAAAGGUGUGAUUCCACCUGGGGAGCGGCUUACGUAGUAUUAGCUUGUUGGUGAGGUAACGACUCACCAAGGCUACGAUGCUUAGGGGGUGUUAGCGCAUGACCCCCACCACUGGGACUGAGAUACUGCCCAGACACCUACGGGUGGCUGCAGUCGAGGAUCUUCGGCAAUGGGCGCAAGCCUGACCGAGCGACGCCGCGUGUGGGAUGAAGGCCCUUGGGUUGUAAACCACUGUCAGAGGGGAUGAAAUGCCAGCCGGCAAUCCGGUUGGUUUGACAUAGCCUCAGAGGAAGCACGGGCUAAGUUCGUGCCAGCAGCCGCGGUAAUACGAACUGUGCAAACGUUAUUCGGAAUCACUGGGCUUAAAGGGUGCGUAGGCGGCUGUCUAAGUUGGGUGUGAAAGCCCCCGGCUCAACCGGGGAAUUGCGCCCUAAACUGGAUGGCUGGAGUGAGACAGGGGUGUGUGGAACUUCCGGUGGAGC